UCCCAGACUCCUACGGGAGGCAGCAGUGAGGAAUAUUGGUCAAUGGGCGGGAGCCUGAACCAGCCAAGUCGCGUGAGGGAAGACGGUCCUAUGGAUUGUAAACCUCUUUUGUCGGGGAGCAAAGAGGCCUCGUGAGGUCAAAAGCGAGAGUACCCGAAGAAAAAGCACCGGCUAACUACGUGCCAGCAGCCGCGGUAAUACGUAGGGUGCGAGCGUUAAUCGGAAUUACUGGGCGUAAAGGGUGUGCAGGCGGCUGAGUAAGACAGAUGUGAAAUCCCCGGGCUUAACCUGGGAACCGCAUAUGUGACUGCUUGGCUAGAGUGCGUCAGAGGGAGGUGGAAUUCCACGUGUAGCAGUGAAAUGCGUAGAUAUGUGGAAGAACACCGAUGGCGAAGGCAGCCUCCUGGGACGCAACUGGCGCUCAUAUACGAAAGCGUGGGGAGCAAACAGGAUUAGAUACCCUCGUAUA
Molecule: ribosomal RNA, 469 nt
Filed under: uncultured bacterium
Lineage: Bacteria
Description: bacterial SSU rRNA
Rfam family: Bacterial small subunit ribosomal RNA
Source: RNAcentral